RNAcentral lists this ribosomal RNA (452 nucleotides) under uncultured bacterium. Its description in RNAcentral is "bacterial SSU rRNA". It matches the Rfam family "Bacterial small subunit ribosomal RNA", at positions 340 to 784 of the family's 1533-position model. The record is from RNAcentral.
UACGGGAGGCAGCAGUGGGGAAUAUUGCACAAUGGGCGCAAGCCUGAUGCAGCCAUGCCGCGUGUAUGAAGAAGGCCUUCGGGUUGUAAAGUACUUUCAGUCGUGAGGAAGGUGUUAAGGUUAAUAACCUUAGCAAUUGACGUUAGCGACAGAAGAAGCACCGGCUAACUCCGUGCCAGCAGCCGCGGUAAUACGGAGGGUGCGAGCGUUAAUCGGAAUUACUGGGCGUAAAGGGCACGCAGGCGGUUAAUUAAGUUGGAUGUGAAAUCCCCGGGCUUAACCUGGGAAUGGCAUUCAAGACUGGUUAGCUAGAGUCUUGUAGAGGGGGUAGAAUUCCAUGUGUAGCGGUGAAAUGCGUAGAGAUGUGGAGGAAUACCGGGUGGCGAAGGCGGCCCCUGGGACAAAGACUGACGCUCAUGUGCGAAAGCGUGGGGAGCAAACAGGAUUAGAUC